Zea mays is the source of this 709-nucleotide long non-coding RNA. RefSeq lists it as uncharacterized. The record is from RefSeq and is a predicted model, not a curated record. NCBI's taxonomy places the organism in Eukaryota, Viridiplantae, Streptophyta, Magnoliopsida, Poales, Poaceae. The transcript has 2 exons.
GCCCCCAUGGCCAUGGUCCCGAGUAGGAGUUAGCCGAAGAAAACAGAGAAGUGCCGGCGCUGUCAACCGAAGCUCGCGCCAACGUCGACCCACAUAUUCAUCGUCAUUGAUACCUCAGAGUCGGGCCCGAGAGCUUCCUCAAGUCGCCUGGGUAGUGAGCAUGGCCUCUUUGGACGGGAUUGGUAGAUGGGAGACUGGGAAUUGCUUACCAGCACUCCAUCGCCGUCGCGGAUCUGUGUGCCACCGUGGGCAACGUCGUCUGCAUCUCGAUUAUCGUAUGAUAUAGACUAUUACAGGAAGCUUCGACUUUGGGAUGAAAGUUCUCUCAUGAUAAAGGCGUGUGAUAAGAAUAUGCAACCCGAAGGUGACGUGGAUGGACGCCGAAGCUGUGGCUCAAGGAGCUUCGGCUUGGAUGGAAGACGAAACCGACCUAAGGGGGAAAAGACUACUUAGUCCUUGAUAACUUGUAUUAUAACUAAGAGUAAAUGUCAGGGGUAUGAAUGUAAUCUUAUCCAGGCUACGUCCCGUGCCUAUAAAUAGAUGAACAGUAACACCGUACUGUUCACGCUGGAUUGUAAUCUCUCUCUCGUGUCAUCUUUGCAUUCUCACCUUCUGGCGAAUCGAAGGUACAAUUGAAUUAUAAGUAUUAUUAAUGUUGAUUCUUAUAUGUGAAUAUGAAUAUAAAUAAAUUGUGAGGAUUUGAACAUUA